CUACUCCAUUCCCCUUCCUCCUGUGGGAUCAUUCUACCCCAUUCCCCUUCCUCCUGCAAUUUCUGUCUUCCUUUCCCUUUUCUUCAGAUGGGGUCUCUUGCACCAUCUACCAUCAACAGUUUUCCAUUCACAAAACUUCCUCACUGUGGGGCUUCCUCCCAUCCUUCAACUCUGCCUCUUCUGAUACUCUCAAGUCAGAAUAUUUCGUUCACCAUCAGGAAACGAGAUGGAAUAUGCAGAGUUUACAGGGUCACACCGACAGACUAAAUUGCGGACAUUCGAUGAACACCCUGGAGCUGGUCAGUGAGGGACAUUGACAGUAAUGGGAACUCCGAUCUGAAGGGUUUAAUGUUUCCUGAAAUAUCCAAGCGAGAGAAUUCCCCCAGACCCGCAGUUUAAAUCACUUAGUUCAUCAAUUUGUCUGUUUGUGUUCAGACUUCGGUUGAAUAAUCUGGGAUAUUCAGGAGUGAAACUGGUGUCUGUAGCUCUGAGGAACCCGGAAUGUAAAAUACAGACACUGUGGCUGGAGAAGGAUGGUCUCACAGAUUCUGGUGCUGAGGAUCUCAUCUCUGCUUUCAGUACAAACCCAUCACUGAGGGAUCAGAACCUGAGAUUAAACUCGCUCACAGACCUAUCUGUCCCCGCUCUCUGCUGUCUCAUAUUGACCUAUCUGAGUUUGAAGUGGAUCGGGCUGGGUGCGAAUCACUUCACUGAGAUCGGGAGGAAGGAACUGGGAUCUCUGCAGGAACUCAGACCCGGACUGGGAGUGGUCGUAUGAAGAUCUGAAUGUGUGAACAUCCCCGCCCACGAGGUGGGGACAUUUUGACCAAUUUCCUGCUCUCCUCUUCAGCGGCUGAGCUCCAGGUUCAAUUCCCAACAGUUUUAAUGGACCCUGGGUCCAGCCGAGUGCUCUGUGACAUCAGAGGCUGUCCUGAAGUGAUGUAAUUCUGCCAACUGUCCAGCAGUGCUGCUUCUGGUGCAUGUCCAAGUUGGAGAGCUCCCUGCGUGAGUUCCCGAGGAGUUACACCGACAGGAAGAGCCCGGGGACAGAGGCUCAGUCUGGGUCAGCAGUGUCGCAUGGUGGGAUUAUCCGGGGAGAAAAUCCUUUUGCUCACUUUGCUGAGGACAGUGCAUUCCACAGUCUGGCUACUAUAAUGAUGUUAUAUUGGCAAAUACCUUGGCAGUGACCCUGGAUCUGCAGUGAUCUCAGACUCUGCCUUGAAGUGUGAUUUUAUAUUCAUCGGUUCCACAAUGCAGAGUGAUGGUGAGAAACGGGACUGAUUAUUCAACCUGUCACUCGUUGUCACCGGUCAGUUAAUUGAGUGUGACUGUGGGAGGUUGCAGUCCCUGUUUGAGUAUCUGACGGGGCUGCUGCUCAGAUUCUGCUGUACUCCUCAUAUAUGGGUAUCCAGCACAGAAGAGGGAGGGUCAGAAGGAGGAUUUCUUAGUGGUCUUGCCCCUGGGCCUGGCCAAGACAGUCUUUCACAGGUCUAGCCAGUGGAAAGUGGAGGGCUCCGCCUGGGCUGACUGUCUCCCCUCUUGUGAGGAUGCAUUCAUGCCCGGCUGUCCUCCGAGAGGGAGCAUGCGGUCGCAAUGGGUACAUUGGGGGAUUUCCAGGAGUGGUGGGCCCCUAACAGAA
Long non-coding RNA from Hypanus sabinus (Atlantic stingray), 1639 nucleotides. RefSeq lists it as uncharacterized. The record is from RefSeq and is a predicted model, not a curated record. The transcript is spliced from 3 exons. Lineage: Eukaryota; Metazoa; Chordata; Chondrichthyes; Myliobatiformes; Dasyatidae.